ACUCACACGUUCCUCUCUAUCUCUCUCUCUCUCUCUCUCUUGUUUCUCAACCUCUCGGUCGUCUCUCACCUUCUCUGCAAAUCCUUCGUCUCUUUCUUCUUCGAUGGCGUCGUGGCGGCGGAUGAGGGGAUUGGCUGGGUGGAUGUCCCAAUCGCAAGCGGCGUAGAUAGAGACGACGUAGAAGGCCGCAGAUUAUCUGAUCACUUCUCUCUUCCCCUGCCUUCUGUUCUUGGUUCACGACAGUUCUUCUGUUCUUCGGCCUUCUCUUUUGAUUUCGAAAUUUCCAUGGGUGUUUUGAUUUACAUGGAACAAGAUGUAUUACAUGUUUCUUGGUAUAGGGUUUUUGAUUUUGUUCGAAUUGUUUUGGGGAUUUUCGUCCUGCCAAAUAUUGUUUGCUAUAGGAAAUUCAAUUUUGUUUCAAGUUCAUUUCGACUUUUGUUUCAUUGAGCGUUCAUUGUUUUGUUGGGCGACGAUGCAUAUCAUAUUCGAGAAUUAAAAUUUUUCUUGUGGUUAAUCCUAGUUCGGCGGUUAUUCUUUUUGCCGACAUUUCUAUUCGCACUUUGUUGGUCUUUCGAACAUCGCAUUUGUUCAAACAAUGAAGCAAGCUUCAAAUCCAGAUGAAACUUUAGAAUCGAUUAGUGCGGCGCCGGCUGGGAAGGAGGCGUCGGCCGCUGUUCUUUGUUUUCACCGGAGAAGGAAGUGCGUGUGAAACUCAGGCAUGACCCAGAUCUUCAGACCCAGAUCUUCAGAGCAGACAACAUCAACUCAGCAAAAACAAAAUUGUGUUUUGUUCAUUUAGAAUUGGGUUCUGUUCAUUUAUUAGAAUUGUGUUCAGUAAAUCUAAAUAAGGUUUUCGUUUUUGCUAUGAAAUCUGAUUUUUUUUU
Molecule: long non-coding RNA, 884 nt
Organism: Salvia miltiorrhiza (redroot sage)
Lineage: Eukaryota; Viridiplantae; Streptophyta; Magnoliopsida; Lamiales; Lamiaceae
Exons: 2
Source: RefSeq, a predicted model, not a curated record